GACGAACGCUGGCGGCGUGCCUAAUACAUGCAAGUCGAACGCAUUUUCUUUCAAUGUAGCUUGCUAUACCGAAAGAAAGUGAGUGGUGAACGGGUGAGUAACACGUCGGUAACUUGCCCAUAAGUGGGGGAUAACACUUGGAUACAGGUGCUAAUACCGCAUAAUUCCAUUUACCGUAUGGUAGUUGGAUGAAAGGCGCUUUUGCGUCACCGAUGCAUGGACUCGCGGUGCUUUAGCUAGAUGGUGGGGUAACGGCCUACCAAGGCUGCGAUGCAUAGCCGACCGGAGUGGGUGGGCAGCCGCACUGGGACGGUGACACGGCACAGUCGCCUUCGGGAGGCGGCAGUAGGGAAACGUCGGCAAUGGACGCAGAUCAGUCCGAGCAGCGCCGCGUGAGUGAAGAAGGAUGUCGGGUUGUGAAACUCUGUUGUUAGGGAGGAACAAGGAUGAGAGUGGAAAGUUCAGCCCUUGACGGUAACGAGCCAGAAAGCCACGGCUAACUACGUG
RNAcentral lists this ribosomal RNA (507 nucleotides) under uncultured bacterium. RNAcentral's name for it is "partial 16S ribosomal RNA". It matches the Rfam family "Bacterial small subunit ribosomal RNA", at positions 28 to 507 of the family's 1533-position model. The record is from RNAcentral.